This 220-nucleotide ribosomal RNA is filed under the name Sarcophyton sp. 1201987. RNAcentral describes it as "partial 28S ribosomal RNA". It matches the Rfam family "Eukaryotic large subunit ribosomal RNA", at positions 1 to 212 of the family's 3401-position model. The record is from RNAcentral. Lineage: Eukaryota; Metazoa; Cnidaria; Anthozoa; Malacalcyonacea; Alcyoniidae.
UUAACCUCAGAUCAGGCAAGGUCACCCGCUGAAUUUAAGCAUAUUACUAAGCGGAGGAAAAGAAACUAACAAGGAUUCCCCUAGUAAUGGCGAAUGAACAGGGAAUAGCUCAACUUGUAAAUCUCCGCUGUGUUGCAGCGGCGAAUUGUAGUUUCGAGAAGUACUUUCCCGGCGCGUCCGAGUUUGCCUAAGUUGCUUGGAACAGCAACGUCGCAGAGGG